This 376-nucleotide ribosomal RNA is filed under the name uncultured bacterium. RNAcentral describes it as "bacterial SSU rRNA". It matches the Rfam family "Bacterial small subunit ribosomal RNA", at positions 523 to 898 of the family's 1533-position model. The record is from RNAcentral.
AUACGUAGGUGGCAAGCGUUAUCCGGAUUUAUUGGGCGUAAAGGGCGUGUAGGCGGUUUACACAGUCAGAUGUGAAAUCCCCGGGCUUAACCUGGGAGCUGCAUUUGAUACGUGUAGACUAGAGUGUGAGAGAGGGUUGUGGAAUUCCCAGUGUAGAGGUGAAAUUCGUAGAUAUUGGGAAGAACACCGGUGGCGAAGGCGGCAACCUGGCUCAUGACUGACGCUGAGGCGCGAAAGCGUGGGGAGCAAACAGGAUUAGAUACCCUGGUAGUCCACGCUGUAAACGAUGUGUGCUAGAUGUUGGGUAACUUUGUUAUUCAGUGUCGCAGUUAACGCGUUAAGCACACCGCCUGGGGAGUACGGCCGCAAGGUUGAA